This 5735-nucleotide long non-coding RNA is filed under the name Ananas comosus (pineapple). RNAcentral describes it as "long non-coding RNA (ACOM_LNC030871)". The record is from RNAcentral. Lineage: Eukaryota; Viridiplantae; Streptophyta; Magnoliopsida; Poales; Bromeliaceae.
GAGAGAGAGAGAGAGAGAGAGAGAGAGAGAGAGAGAGAGAGAGAGAGAGAGGUGUUUUAUUUUAAANCAAACCAACACUUGGAACUUUCCUGCAUUUUCUGAGGCGCAACUCCGCAAUCAUUUUCUUUGUGAAGAAUCUACUUCACGAGAAGAUUACUCUCAUCUUUCCUUUCCUCACCGCCUCGCCCACUUUUUACUAACUAAAGUAGUUCUUCCUCGCGACGGUCACCACACCGCUGUUCAAAAAAUGGAUCUUUUUCUACUUCAUCAUCUAUUUGCGGGGAUCCGGGUAAAUUUGGGGUAUAUCAUCAUUCGCCACAUGGCCGUCGCCAUUUCUCAUCCCUCGCGCUCACUUCCAUAUGGCUCUUUGCUCACCGCUGUUCUCGAGUUCAUGUCAUUUGAUCUUUCUGACGUAAGGCCGAUGAAGUACCCCACUGCCAUUUCUACAGCCACUUUCUCCACUCUCGGCUUCAAGAAAAAUCGUCAUGGCAUUUGGGUAAGGAAACAUGUAAUUGAUUCGCCUAGCGAGCAUGGUGACGACAUUGACGACGCCGAGGAUGAUCCUAUGCCUUAUGAGCCGCCCCCUCGAGCACCUCCUCCACCGGUUGAGCCGCCGCCACGAGCAUCUCCUCUACCAUUUGAGCCACCCCCUGCUGUGCCUCCGCCCUAUGUUCCUCUACCUAUGGAUUUUCAAAACUAGGUUUUUGAUCGACUUGAUAGGAUGGAAGACCAUAUGCAUGCUCUCCAGACGGAUGUUUCCGGCAUCAAGGCAUACAUGGACUCUAUCUUUGGACCUUCUAGUGCCUUCUAUGCCGCGUAUGGACCCCACGUUGAUCGACCAUCAUCCUCCUCUAUGCCUCCACCAGUUCCGCCUACGGAUCAUGAGGACGAUGAAGAGGAUGACGAUGAUGAUGAUUAGCUUAUGUUUCUACCACUUUUUGCUAGUCUCCUUUUAUGCUUUUUUUUUGUGAUGACAAAGGGGGAGAACGUGCUAUGUGAUAAACUAUGCUAUGCUUGUGGUUUAUUAUGUUAUGGUUUAUUAUGCUCCUUAUGGUUUAUUAUGUUAUGGUUUAUUAUGCUCCUUAUGUUUUAUUAUGUUAGGCUAUGUGAAUCUCGUUUAUAUUUUGACAUUUGCCUACAUGAUUGCUUACUUCUUUUAUUGUGAUAUAUGCUAUGCCUAUGAUUGUGUUUUAUGCUUGUUAAAUAUAUGCAUAUAUUUAGGGGGAGUAUUCUAUUUUUUUUGCUCUCUACUCAUUUGAAUAUUAUAUCACAUUAUUUGUCAUCAUCAAAAAGGGAGAGAUUGUUGGCCCAGUGGCCUUAAUCGUCUAUUAGAUUUUGAUGAUAACAAAUAAUCACGAUUAUUGGACUAAUCUUUUAUCUUGAGUCUUGUGUUUUAGAUCUCUCUAUCUUCAAAAAGGAUUCAAGAUGGCCAAUAUUCUAGCACCAAGCUUCACCACUUGAAACUGUGUUUGCUUCUUUUGUCAAAUAGACAAACUCACUCUCUCCAUUCUUAAUUUGAUUAAUAUUAUGCUUUAUAUUUAGAGUGAGAAACUUUGAGCUAAGUUUUAUCACCUUAUAGAUCACUUAAACAAAUUUUUAAAUUUAUGAUUAAGUAAAAAGGACUUUUAAAUAUUCAAAAAUUGCUCAAACUCUGUGUUCUGUAAAGUUGCAAAUUUUGGACCCUGUUCUGGGCGCCCUAAAGUGGAUCCGAAUCUUUUGAGACCUUUUGGAUCCUGCCUGUUUGCUGUUCGGGUGAUCCACACCAUACUGGGUUGUACCCGGUUACAACCCGGUUUGGUGGGGAAACACUUGUUCCCACCAAACUUUUUUUCUUGUUGGGUAUAAAGGGGAGGAUAUCCCCCUUUUAUCCCCCUUUAUACCCGAACCAAACGGGAGUGUUAAAGCUUUAUAAUUCUCUCAUUUUAGGCACCCAUAUGUCAAGACACCAGUUUGUUAUUAUUAUAAAACUUUAAAAAAACGCAAACUAUUCAUGAUUAUUAAUCAAAACGACCAUUAUCAAUAGUCACAAUUUUGUAAUAAUGUAAUUCUUAUUAUUUUGAAUAUCAUUUUUAUGAAUGUAAACUGGAUUAAUAUAUACAAAAUAUUAGUAUAUUGCUAAUAUUGUACUUAUCUAUAAAAUAUAUAUUAAGUUACAGCUCAUGUAAUGUUGUUCAUCUAUUUUGUCAUCUUUUCUUAUGUGAGUAAGAGAAUCUGAAAUUGAUUAAAAAAACUAAUAAAUCAAGACUUGGCAUAGCUUAAAGGCUAGAGCGUGUUUAAUUAUGUAACUUUAAACUUGGCAUAUUUUAAUAUUAAAAAUUUAAAUUUAAAUUUCUUCAAAUGAAAAAUUCUAAAUAUCUCAAAAUCAAAAUAAAAAAAUUUAAGUUGAAAUAAAAAUUAGAGUACAUCUUAAAAUUUGAAUUUUUCAAUCAAAUUUCAAACUUUAAAAUAAAAUUUCAAAUUCUGAUUUGUAUUGGUUAGUUAAAAUUUUUAAUUAUAAACUUAAUUCUAAUUUAAAUUCAAAUAAUUUGAAUUCUUAUCUUGUUGAACAAAGUAAAACGUGAAAGUUAGAAAACACCAAAAUAUGAAAUAAAAAAUAAAACGCAAGUAUGGCGGCUGACAUUACGGAUUGUCGUUAAUUUAACGACUUCUUUUUUAGACGGUGUGAGAACAGUAAUUCAUAAUGAUAACUUUUGAAUUUUUUUUAAAAAAAAAAGAACCAAAAUAAAAAAUAUGUUGCAUAAGGUUAGAGAUCAACGGGUGCAUUUUAAUCAUUAACUAAAAUAUCGUAUGAAUUCGUCAAUACUCGUUAAAAAUAAGGAGAGACCUUCUUUGAUUGUUGUGCUUUUAUCGUUUUAUAAAAUUGUAUAGAUGCGAACACGCCAAUACAUGGUUUGAUGCAGCUAAGUACAGGAGUAUGUUCAUCGCCUAUUCUAUUGUCCCGAGCUUUGAAUGAGAUUUCGACUAUCAUUAGUAAGAGCAUAAAUGUUACACCGGGCACAAUCUUGUCUUGAUAUUGUGUUUUGAACCGUUGGGUAGUAUGGAGGGGCAAGAGGAUGCCCGACGAACGUCAUAUCAUCUUUACGUAAUCAUACAUAGGGCUGCCCGAUGUGUCCCUACGAGCAAAAAUGGCAGAAGGAUUGAUAGGUUGGUACCUGGUUCCAAGUUCGAAUUCUAGAUUGAUUCAUUAUUUCAAGUAAGUUUAUUUCUAAAUGAAUAAACGAGCGGGCAGUUAACAUGCUACUCCUAUCUACUCAAAAAAACAAAUUAUCAUAGGUUGCGUUUGGAGAUGCUGGAAAGAUUAAGUCAUGUGCGUAUGAGAAAGUACAUAAAAAAAUUCAUCAGUUAUUUCUGUUAUAUAAGUAUUGCGUUCAGCCCAUAUCCUGAUGAGUCGGUUACGAUAUAUCUUUCUGCGCUCGCCAACGCGAGAGUCGCAAAAGCAUAAUCUCUAUUCAUAAUUUACCUGUGCCCAUAUCUCAUUUUAUCUGAUUAGCGAUUAGAUAAACCUCAAUUACCAAACUAAGCCUUAGGAGUUCUAUCAACCCUACUUUUACUCUCAAUCUUUACCACGAAAGGUAUUGUAAUCUUAUGUUUAAGAAUGGUAUAUUGCUUUUUGCCAACUUCGAUUUGUUGCGAGAAAUAUCGUGAAGUAUAAGCUGGUUCUUUUUUUAUUUCCUGACUGGUUUUGGCAUGCAGGAACUUAUCACAUCCAAUUGCGCAUAUCUAGCAGUUUCUAGUGUUAGGUUUUUAAGGUAAAAUGAUGCAUAUAUAUUCCAGUAGGUUGCUUGCGCUUUCAACCUUACUAUGUAUUAGUUGAUUUUGCGUCGCAGCGUAAUCUUAUUUCAAAUUGGUUUUUUGGAUUGCGAUUAUGCUUAAUUUUGGACACUAUUAGCUUCUCAUGAGCUUUCACAUUGCGACAAAGGCUACAGAAGCUAAUGAAGAAGUGGAUGGACAAGCAAGGUUAAUUGCUGCGUAAGGACCUCAAAGAAAUUCGCAAACUGGAGUCGUAAGCACGCAAAAGAGGGUCCAUAUGUUAGUUUCACUUAUAAGUAAGAACAAAAGGUAGGGCCUCCGUUUUCCAGAAGCACUAUUAAAAAUUUGGUUGGAAGGUGCCGCGUACACUUUGCCUUUGAUAGGCACGGACGUGACGAGGCCGUUCUCGAGUAGUAUUCCGAGAAGAUUUUUGUCGCGGCUCUCAUCGAGGAAAUUCCUUCACACAAUUGUGCUUUGCUGUUUGAAAGUGGAGUUGGUGAUGAAUAUUAGGAGCACUCAGAGAUGUGUUUUUCAUGCACUUAUAAUAGCAAUGCUUUUUAGAGCCUUGACCUCGAUUGUUUACAGCCCAGAGUAAUGUAAUUAACCAGGACAUAAGGCAUUGGUAUAAUAAUGAAAAGUAAUUGUGUUCUGUUGUAAUAAUUUUGUUUGAAGAUCUGAAAAUUUACUGAUGACUAGAUGCCGUUUAAGCUAGGUGUAACUACAAGUGACAAUUUCACUCCUCCAUCAAUUAUUUCAUAUUUUUACAUUGUACAUGCAAGUGCAGUGAACAAGGUAAGAAAAGAUAAUCGGAAACGGGGAAAAGAAAAACACCGGAAAUAUAUAACAAAGACCGAAAUAAAGAAAAAAUUCCCAGAAUAAAACCAAAAGGAAAAAAGAAAAAAAGGAUGUCGAAAGAGACAACCUACAGGCUAAUCAAAGGAUGAUUAUAGUUGCAAGAAUUUAUUCAGCAAAUCCCUUCUUUAUAGCUCUCUUUAGAAGCAGUUACUUGAUCCCUUCGACGAAUGUGACGGACAAGUUGCAUGUGAGACACUAAUUGCUAUACACUUCCCAGCAUAACCGCGAUCAAUAUGGCAACUUUAAAAAGAUAGAAGAGGACCGCUCUUUGAAAAUCUAGAAUUUAAAUCUUCUCNNNNNNNNNNNNNNNNNNNNNNNNNGGAACACUUGUUCCCACCCGGGGGUGGAACAACUUGUUCCACCCCCUGGUACAAGGCAGAGAGAGAGAGAGAGAGAGAGAGAAAGAGAGAGAGAGAGAGAGAGGUGUUUUAUUUUAAAUUUAAAUAUAAAUUUUUAAAAUUUAUAAAUUUAAAAUUAAAAUUUAUAAAUUAAAAUUUUUAAUUUUUAAAGUUUAAAUUUUAAAUUUGAUAUUUUUAGUUUUUAAAUUUUAUAAAUUUGUUAUUUUAUAUCUUUGAAUUUUAAUUUGGUUUUAACUUUGAAAUUUAAAAUUAAAUUAUUGAAAAUUUAAAAUUUAAUUUUAAAAUUUAAAACUUAAAACUUUAGGACUUUAAUUUAAAAUUAUAUAUUUAAAAUUUAAAAAUAUAAUUUCAAUUAUAGGGGUAAUAUUAUUAUUUUCUAUUUAUAACUACUAACUAUUCCUCUUAUUCCCAAAAACCAUCCAAACGCAAUUUUUCUAGUUCCAGCUUAUACUCACAAUUUCACCCAAACAAAAAAAUACUCUUGUUCCUACAAAAAUCCAUACUUGUACCUAUCCCCGGUAUAACUAGUUCCUACUAAUUCCUGAACCAAACGGAGCCAUAGUAUAUUAUAAAUAUAUUUUUAUAAAAUUUACUUUUUAUAUAUUGAUUUUAUUAAUGUCGCAAUAUUUUUAAAUACAUUAUUGUGGUUAGAAUCUAUUAGAAAAUUUUAAUUAAUCAUAGAUUAAAUACUUAACUCUGAUUAGUUUAUGAGAUAAUUCGAUAUCUUUGCUCCUUUUAUAUUAUACUGUUGUGAUUUUUGAAGUGACAUUU